GAGGAGCUUGCUCCUCUGGAUUAGUGGCGAACGGGUGAGUAACACGUGAGCAAUGUGCCCUUGACUCUGGAAUAAGCGCUGGAAACGGCGUCUAAUACCGGAUACGACCUUCGGAGGCAUCUCCUGUUGGUGGAAAGAACUUCGGUCAAGGAUCAGCUCACGGCCUAUCAGCUUGUUGGUGAGGUAACGGCUCACCAAGGCGACGACGGGUAGCCGGCCUGAGAGGGUGACCGGCCACACUGGGACUGAGACACGGCCCAGACUCCUACGGGAGGCAGCAGUGGGGAAUAUUGCACAAUGGGCGCAAGCCUGAUGCAGCAACGCCGCGUGAGGGACGACGGCCUUCGGGUUGUAAACCUCUUUUAGCAGGGAAGAAGCGAAAGUGACGGUACCUGCAGAAAAAGCACCGGCUAACUACGUGCCAGCAGCCGCGGUAAUACGUAGGGUGCAAGCGUUGUCCGGAAUUAUUGGGCGUAAAGAGCUCGUAGGCGGUUUGUCGCGUCUGCUGUGAAAUCCCGAGGCUCAACCUCGGGCUUGCAGUGGGUACGGGCAGACUAGAGUGCGGUAGGGGAGAUUGGAAUUCCUGGUGUAGCGGUGGAAUGCGCAGAUAUCAGGAGGAACACCGAUGGCGAAGGCAGAUCUCUGGGCCGUAACUGACGCUGAGGAGCGAAAGCAUGGGGAGCAAACAGGCUUAGAUACCCUGGUAGUCCAUG
This 713-nucleotide ribosomal RNA is filed under the name Agrococcus sp. Its description in RNAcentral is "bacterial SSU rRNA". It matches the Rfam family "Bacterial small subunit ribosomal RNA", at positions 73 to 799 of the family's 1533-position model. The record is from RNAcentral. Lineage: Bacteria; Bacillati; Actinomycetota; Actinomycetes; Micrococcales; Microbacteriaceae.